Molecule: transfer RNA, 65 nt
Filed under: bovine gut metagenome
Rfam family: tRNA
About the family: Transfer RNA (tRNA) molecules are approximately 80 nucleotides in length. Their secondary structure includes four short double-helical elements and three loops (D, anti-codon, and T loops).
Source: RNAcentral
GGCAUAGCUCAGUUGGCAGAGCGACGCACUCGUAAUGCGUAGGUCGCCGGUUCAAGUCCGGCUCC